This 352-nucleotide unclassified non-coding RNA is filed under the name soil metagenome. RNAcentral's name for it is "partial contains 5.8S ribosomal RNA, internal transcribed spacer 2, and large subunit ribosomal RNA". The stretch from base 3 to 120 matches the Rfam family "5.8S ribosomal RNA", at positions 37 to 154 of the family's 154-position model. The record is from RNAcentral.
GGUGAAGAACGUAGCGAAAUGCGAUAAGUAAUGUGAAUUGCAGAAUUCAGUGAAUCAUCGAAUCUUUGAACGCACAUUGCGCCCGCCAGUAUUCUGGCGGGCAUGCCUGUUCGAGCGUCAUUACAACCCUCAGGCCCCCGGGCCUGGCGUUGGGGAUCGGCGGAAGCCCCCUGUGGGCACACGCCGUCCCUCAAAUACAGUGGCGGUCCCGCCGCAGCUUCCAUUGCGUAGUAGCUAACACCUCGCAACUGGAGAGCGGCGCGGCCAUGCCGUAAAACACCCAACUUCUGAAUGUUGACCUCGAAUCAGGUAGGAAUACCCGCUGAACUUAAGCAUAUCAAUAAGCGGAGGA